RNAcentral lists this long non-coding RNA (408 nucleotides) under Rattus norvegicus (Norway rat). Its description in RNAcentral is "long non-coding RNA NONRATT022364". The record is from RNAcentral. Lineage: Eukaryota; Metazoa; Chordata; Mammalia; Rodentia; Muridae.
GGUCAGAGGCCUGCAGUGUACACUGGAGGGUCAGCCUCUGGACCCUGUGCACAGCAACCUGUGGCAACUAUGGCUUCCAGUCCCGGCGGGUGGAGUGUGUUCACGUGCGCACCAACAAGGCUGUGCCUGAGCACCUGUGUUCCUGGGGGCCCCGACCCGCCAACUGGCAACGCUGCAACAUCACUCCAUGUGAAAACACUGAGUGCAGAGACACCACCAGGUACUGCGAGAAGGUGAGACAGUUGAAACUCUGCCAGCUCGGCCAGUUCCGAUCUCGCUGCUGUGGAACGUGUGGCAAAGCAUGAAGACAGGGUACAGGGAUGAACUCUACCCUGGCCACACAAAGGACUCAUACAACCACCUUGGACAUGACUUACGCUUUCUUCCUUUUAUUUAUUUAUUUGCCCC